GAUUAGUAUUAUAAAAUUUUAAAUGAUUUUCAUCCUUAACCCCCAAAACCACGCUUGGAUUCACCACAAUUGGACCAGUGUAAUCUGCACUAGUAGUGAUGAACUACUACUCUUUCAAUUCACCACUAUUCUCUUCCUCUUCUCCUUCUUCAUCUCCCACACUUCCACCCUCAAAUCCCCCCAAAUGGCGAAUCACUUAUUAUCCCAUAAUCUCCACCGUCUCUUCUUCCCUCCGCCGCCACCACCGCCGUCGCCGCCGCAGCAGCCCCGAAACCCCCACAAAACCCAAACCCUCGCCGCCGUCCGAUGAUCAGAAUCUCCAAAUGGUAAUCGACAUCGAACACUUGUCGAACAAAGCCUCACUGUCCCUAAAAAGGCUAUUGAGUUCAUCCCAAUUGAGGUUCAAUCAAUUCGUUCAAUCGGGUAAUGAAGCUCUCGGUGAUUUGCAGACUUUGAUCACCUUCGAUCCCAAUCGGAGGGUUAUUGUUUCUUGUCGUCAGUCCACGCUUCAUUUUAUUGGCAAUUUGCUUCUCUGGAGCUGUGUAAUUGUAUUUGGUUUUAGGGUUUUGGUGAAAUUAGGGUUAGGGUUUUGGGGUCGAUUAGGGUUUGGUAAUAGCAGUGGGGUGAUAAUGAGGAGAGACCGUAGUCUUGGGGGUAGAGAAGUAGUUGUUGCAAGAAAAACGGACACACAUAGUGAUCGUAACUUUAGGGUUCUGGAAAAUCCUCUAUCGGAGACUGCGGUGAGAGCUUCGGAGGUAAUGCCGAAGAAUUGGGUUCGGAGGGCGAAGGAGAAGAAGUUGCCGAGUUGGUGGCCGGUUUUGCUUCCCCCUCCUGUUUUGAAUGAUGACAAGCAGGAGUAUCAGAGAAUGGCUCACAGAUUAAUUCGAGCAAUCAUGGACUAUAGAAUAAAUGGAAGAGACAUCUCAGAGGAAGAUAUAUUUCAAUUCCGUCGAUUAUGCAGGACAUCUGGAGCAAGGGUGUCCUUUGAUACAACCAAUGCCCGGGAUUCAUUUUAUCGUGCAUCGAUUGACUUUGUUUUCAACAUUUGUGGCAGUUGUUACUUGAUUUCAUUUUUCCCAGUGUGGCAAAUCCAUUUACUUCUGUUUACAUUGACGGCGAGGAUGCCCGGCAAUUCAUUGCUGGGCUUGCUGAUAACAUUGGUCUUGAGAACACUCGUGCUGCAAGAAUCGUUUCUGGAGCUGUUGCUGCUCGCACACGAUCAUGUUUUUUGCAGGCUUGGGCUUUUGAGAUGCAAGGCAAACAUUCUGAAGCAGUGGCGGAACUGUCAAAGAUAUGUCUCAUUCACCAGAUAUUUCCUCCAGAAGAAUGCUCACCUGAGAUGGAGAUGGUUGCUCGUGGCCUUGAGAAGCAUUUAAAAGUAGAACAAAGGAAAUUUUUGAUGGACACGCUUGUUGAGGUUUGUGGCAAAGGGAGCCAUAGAAGUAUGGCAGAAGCUCUGGGUCUGGUACCCUCACCUGAAGAAGGUGUUAGCAAUGAGCAAGGAAACAAGGUAACAUAGAUAAUACUGUGAGACAGUGAAUUGUUUUCUAUUAGCAAAUGAAAAUUAGCAUUGCAUAUGCAUAUGAGCUGAUUAUUAUUCAUAGUUGUUAUUACCCUAUUAAUUAAUAGGCCCCAAAGGGUGUUCUUUGGCUUUAUACAAAUUGUAAUUCCCAAAUAAUGAAUCAUCAUAAAAUUAAUGCAAAGUCUUCCCUUUCUUGUUCUGCUCCA
Camellia sinensis is the source of this 1728-nucleotide non-coding RNA. The record is from RefSeq and is a predicted model, not a curated record. NCBI's taxonomy places the organism in Eukaryota, Viridiplantae, Streptophyta, Magnoliopsida, Ericales, Theaceae.